Molecule: ribosomal RNA, 429 nt
Filed under: Gemmatimonadota bacterium
Lineage: Bacteria; Pseudomonadati; Gemmatimonadota
Description: Gemmatimonadetes bacterium partial 16S ribosomal RNA
Rfam family: Bacterial small subunit ribosomal RNA
Source: RNAcentral
UAGGGAAUCUUCGGCAAUGGACGAAAGUCUGACCGAGCAACGCCGCGUGAGUGAAGAAGGUUUUCGGAUCGUAAAACUCUGUUGUUAGAGAAGAACAAGGACGUUAGUAACUGAACGUCCCCUGACGGUAUCUAACCAGAAAGCCACGGCUAACUACGUGCCAGCAGCCGCGGUAAUACGUAGGUGGCAAGCGUGGUCCGGAUUUAUUGGGCGUAAAGCGGGCGCAGGCGGUUUCUUAAGUCUGAUGUGAAAGCCCCCGGCUCAACCGGGGAGGGUCAUUGGAAACUUCGAGGCUUGAGUGCACAAGAGGAGUGUCGAAUUCCAUGUGUAGCGGUGAAAUGCGUAAAUAUAUGGAGGAAUACCAGUGGAGAAGGCGGCUCUCUGGUCUGUAUCUGACGCUGUGGCUCGAAAGCGUGGCGAGCAAACAGG